This 2173-nucleotide unclassified non-coding RNA is filed under the name Hevea brasiliensis (rubber tree). The record is from RNAcentral. Lineage: Eukaryota; Viridiplantae; Streptophyta; Magnoliopsida; Malpighiales; Euphorbiaceae.
CUGAAGCUAAAAAAUCCACAGGCAGCCAUGUGAUCCAGCAAACAAGGGAUUUUUCAAGAUGUCAGGCCCCUAGCAUAAGAGAGAAACAGUUCUGGUGUUCAAAAAAUUGUGACUGAGUGCAUCACGGAUCACUGCAACAACAGAAACAAAGCCAAAGAGGACCCUUGUUUUAAGCCACACAAAUUAUGCCUAGUUGCAUGAACAAGCUUGAUGUGACAAAUGAUAGAAACUAACCCAAGCUGUUCAUGUUCCAAAGAAACUAAAAGCUGAGAACAUUAGGUCUGGUUCUGGAUACACGCCAACCACAAAAGAAAACUAGUUUAUUAGUCAGGUUUUCUGUUGCAGACUAAAGAGCAAGGGGAAGGGGUUGAAGUCAGGGGUGGAACCAUACACAUAGGAUAAUUGCAUAAGCCAGCAAACAGGCUAACUAAUACUCAAGUAUCUUUUCAUUCACAAAUAAAGUUAAUGCCCCUUGAUAUCUCAUCCAGCAUAUCAGGCUGGAGAACCAACCUCUCCCUAGCUGGGACAAAUACCAGCAUAUUAAGCACAAAACAAAUAAAGUUGUGACCCAUCAUCAGAUUACACACUAAAGUCCCGACUGGGGAUAUAUAUUAUGCAAAAUAGUCAGAAUAAAUUCAACAAAAGCAACAGAACUCUGCAAGCUAACUGAAUGUUAAAUUGAAAAAGAUCCAGCAGAAAAUAGCCUUACAUGGCUUCUGUCUUAGGCAAAUAAAACCCUGAUUCAUAUAUGAACCAGAAUGAUUAAGCAUAUGAAAAUGAUAACAUGAUUACCUUUUCUUUGAAAAUUUGUCUCAUACUUAGAAGCACGACCUACAAUUAACUAGGAACUUCAAAUUGAAAAGAUUGCAACGAAAUGAGAAGAGCAGAAUGUCUAAGGUUAUAGUUUUUCUUUUUGAACUGAUAUGUCAUAGAAUAAUUAAAACUGUAAAAGGGAAGAUAAGGCUUGAGGCCAGGCAAGGCUGUGACAUCAGAACUAGGAAAAGGGGAAACAAAUUGGAGGGGGAAAAAAUAGAAGCUAUUUUAUUCUUCCAAGAUACACAAAUCACGGGGUUUGGUAUGUUUUUCAUAUUAACUGGUUGUUCUAUCUGUUGCAAACUAAAUUGUUACUCCAUUAAAUAAUGCCUUCUAUAUUGAUUCCAUCAACUUUAAGAUACAAAGUAGUACAACAGAGAAGCUAAAUACAUAUACAUGAUCGAAGCUUUGUAUUUGGCAUUCUUGCAGUAAACCUUUUAUCCUUCAAAACUCAAGUAGCUCUUCACAAUGAACCCCAUUCAGCAUCCCAGUCCAUUGUUGCAAACUUAUUAGGAAAGGCAGGUUUCUGACCUAAGCCUGCCAGAACUUGUGAACUAAAGUCAUGAAAAAUAUCACAUAUAAGAAAUGCCCCUCCAUGUAAAACAAAGAUGAAUAUUCCUUUUGAAACACCAUUUUAUAACAAAGAUUUAAACUUUAGUCAUACAAAUUGAUUAUGAAUCAGUAUUACUCAAAACAUCAUCAACUUUCUGCAUCCCCUCAAUCAAAGAAAUGUAGGUGCUGUCAUCAGGAACAAUGCCUUUGCUAACCAUUUCUUUGAGGAGCUCUUCAGCAUGAUCUCCUUCCUGGUUUUUGCAUAAAACCUGUAUGAGGGCAUUAUAAGUGAGAAGUGUAGGAUUGAAUCCUAUACUCAGCAUCUCAUCUCUAACUCUAAAAGCAUCAUUCAUAUCACCUCUUCUGCUAUACCCACUAAUCAGAGUAUUGUAACUAAUAUGGUCAGGUUUGAUUCCUCUACUUUUCAUCUCUUCAAGAAGCUCACGAGCUUCUUCAACUUUUCCCUCCCUACAACGGCCUUGCAUUAGGGUAUUGUAAGUCACUUCAUCAGGAAUAACUUUCCUUCUAUCCAUCUCCUCCAACAAUGCAAAUGCACGAUCCAUAUUCCCAUUAGCACAGUGACCAUCAAUCAAGGCAUUGAACAAUAUAAGAUCUGGAAAUAUACCUUCACGGACUAUCUUUUCAUAAAGGUCAUCAGCCUCUUUCAUUCUAUUCCGUUUACCCAAAACAUAAAUUAGCGAUGUGUAAGUUACCCGUGUUGGCUGAAUGCCUCUACAUACCAUUUCAUCAUGGAGGCUAAAUGCUUUCUCUGCGUUCCCACAUCUGCAAUAUCCAUUAAUCAAGAUGU